GAGGCUCAAGCUCUGCACAAUCCGAGCUAAAGUUCAGAUCUGAAGUCGGGCUGGAGACUCUAACUCUAGCGCUUGGUGGGAGGCAACCCACUGUUGGUUUGUUUUUUAUGUUUUCAUUUUUCUUGUUCUUUCCUUGUUUUUAGUUGGUGUUUUAUUUUUUUUGUCCUAAGUUUCGGUUGCUAUGCGGAUACUAUGAUUCUGGAGGUGUUCAUGUUUCUGCUUCAGCGCUGCAAUCUUUACUCUGACCUUGUAGCACAACGCUGCCAUUCC
RNAcentral lists this long non-coding RNA (270 nucleotides) under Salvia miltiorrhiza (redroot sage). Its description in RNAcentral is "long non-coding RNA (SMIL_LNC013603)". Lineage: Eukaryota; Viridiplantae; Streptophyta; Magnoliopsida; Lamiales; Lamiaceae. The record is from RNAcentral.